Molecule: ribosomal RNA, 906 nt
Filed under: Enterococcus sp. H294
Lineage: Bacteria; Bacillati; Bacillota; Bacilli; Lactobacillales; Enterococcaceae
Description: bacterial SSU rRNA
Rfam family: Bacterial small subunit ribosomal RNA
Source: RNAcentral
UGCUAUACUGCAGUCGACGCUUCUUUUUCCACCGGAGCUUGCUCCACCGGAAAAAGAGGAGUGGCGAACGGGUGAGUAACACGUGGGUAACCUGCCCAUCAGAAGGGGAUAACACUUGGAAACAGGUGCUAAUACCGUAUAACAAUCAAAACCGCAUGGUUUUGAUUUGAAAGGCGCUUUCGGGUGUCGCUGAUGGAUGGACCCGCGGUGCAUUAGCUAGUUGGUGAGGUAACGGCUCACCAAGGCCACGAUGCAUAGCCGACCUGAGAGGGUGAUCGGCCACAUUGGGACUGAGACACGGCCCAAACUCCUACGGGAGGCAGCAGUAGGGAAUCUUCGGCAAUGGACGAAAGUCUGACCGAGCAACGCCGCGUGAGUGAAGAAGGUUUUCGGAUCGUAAAACUCUGUUGUUAGAGAAGAACAAGGAUGAGAGUAACUGUUCAUCCCUUGACGGUAUCUAACCAGAAAGCCACGGCUAACUACGUGCCAGCAGCCGCGGUAAUACGUAGGUGGCAAGCGUUGUCCGGAUUUAUUGGGCGUAAAGCGAGCGCAGGCGGUUUCUUAAGUCUGAUGUGAAAGCCCCCGGCUCAACCGGGGAGGGUCAUUGGAAACUGGGAGACUUGAGUGCAGAAGAGGAGAGUGGAAUUCCAUGUGUAGCGGUGAAAUGCGUAGAUAUAUGGAGGAACACCAGUGGCGAAGGCGGCUCUCUGGUCUGUAACUGACGCUGAGGCUCGAAAGCGUGGGGAGCAAACAGGAUUAGAUACCCUGGUAGUCCACGCCGUAAACGAUGAGUGCUAAGUGUUGGAGGGUUUCCGCCCUUCAGUGCUGCAGCUAACGCAUUAAGCACUCCGCCUGGGGAGUACGACCGCAAGGUUGAAACUCAAAGGAAUUGACGGGGGCCCGCAC